Long non-coding RNA from Ictalurus punctatus (channel catfish), 1503 nucleotides. The record is from Ensembl. Lineage: Eukaryota; Metazoa; Chordata; Actinopteri; Siluriformes; Ictaluridae.
ACGGGUGCGCGCGCGUGUGCAAGGCUAGAAAUGAUAUGCAAAUGAGCACCGGCUUUAUAUAGGCCGAAACGGGCCCGGGCCAGAGGAGUAGGCGGCUCAGUGCACGCCUUUUAUAUAGUAUUAUCAAGUGCACUUAUGAUUCAGCAUCCUGAGCCCUGCUGCUACCGGAAUGACUCACCGGAGCCUUUAUAGGAGGGGGAAAGAAAAGCCAAAUAAGAGGAAGUGUAGCUUAAAUCAUGCACAGUUACAGAUGAGGAACAAGGAAAUAAAGAGAAAUUCCCAGACCCAGAGGAAAAUCAAAAGGUGAUCAACAAAAUGUCAGGAAAACACAAUUCAAUACAAAUGAUUUAUUUAUAUGUACACUGUUUGGGUUUUGUUUUAUUUUUGUUUGUUUUUUUGCUUUAGGACAAAAAAAAAGUGGUGUAAAUUUCACACUGCUGUGAACUGAGGUUUUGGCUUUGAGAACUGAAUUCCAAGGGUGUUCGAUUUGCAUUCAACCCACGGAGUUCAGUUCUUAAGCUUGGAUGCUCCAAACAACAUGGAUGGAUACAAAACAGCUGCAGAGAAACCACCAGCAUCGUGUUGCUAAACACACUGAAGGUGAGGAUUCAACUGGUGUUGUGCUGUUCAAGUCUUGGGCAUGUAUAACAUACAGAAUUAUUCACGAAGUCCUGAAGAGGUUUGGGUUAUUAUGCAUUUUCUCAAAUGCUCAGUUACUAUAUAAAUGUCGUAGAUAAAAUAUAUGUAUGCCUAUCAUUUAAUAUUCAUUACGCCUUUGUGUCGGGUAGAGAAGAAUACAACUAGGACAUAGCACAACUAGCACUUACCUCGAUGUAACAUAUAAGACAUACAUAUAACACAUCUCUACACUUUAAAUGUUUAAAUAUUUUUAUUAUUUUUUUUAAAUAGACCAAAUGAAAAGGCCACAAAUGGUGUUUAUUAACCAAAUGAUUGACGAGGGUUAUGACAGAUUUUUUUCAUGAGCAGGGUUUAAUAAUAUGUGAACACUUUUAUAUAAACAAACAUGUCUUUAUCUUUUGCAAUAAAAAAAAAGAAAGCUAAAUGAAGAGACAACUAUAAGCUGCACAUACUUUAUGCAGCUGCGGAUUUUGAAUAUUAAUAAAGGAAAUGGAACUUUCAUGAUGUAUCAGUGCAUGACUAUGACUAAUUGGUAUUUAUGAAACAUUGGUAUUUAUAAAUGAGCAUUAUAUGGUUUUAAUAAGGCCUAGGAAGUAUAUGUAAUGUAUAGGUUACCUUGUCCUGAUUUAUUUGACCGAUUUAUAGUAACUUAUUUACUCAGUGUGUUUAACAUUUUUCUCAGUUUUAUACACUGUAUAGAAUAAGUGUAAUCAUAUUAAUGGUUAAGUAUAGUAAAUUAUUAUUGUUUUUUUUGUUGUUGUUGUUCUUUUUUAAUUGUAAAUAAAGUUGUGUAAGAAAUUUGUCUUCAUCUGAUUUCACACCAUAUAGUGCCACAAAGGGGUCGCACAUGCAGGAUGUUUCAAG